Molecule: long non-coding RNA, 663 nt
Organism: Rhineura floridana
Lineage: Eukaryota; Metazoa; Chordata; Lepidosauria; Squamata; Rhineuridae
Exons: 3
Source: RefSeq, a predicted model, not a curated record
CAGAAACGAAGCACUGAGGGAAAAGGAGGGGAAGGGUCACUUUAAAAAUACAAGCUGCAAGUAAAAACAGACUGAGGAGAGAAGGAAGGCUUAAAAGACAAUAGAAAAGGACUUUAAAAGACUUGAAAAGCAGCUUCAGCAACUAUUACAUACAAUAAGCCUCAUGUCCGAAAGCAGCCAGGAGGAAACUAGCUGGAGUAAACUGAACACACAAAACAGAAAAAAGGCAGGUACAGCAAUCAAUGUGCAACAUGGAAGGGGUAACAGUGCUGACCUGUUUUAAAGGAUCAUUGUAAGGAUUCCAGCAGAAUGUAUGUGAAGUUCUUUGAACUGUUGAAAGUGCUACAUAAACACAAAGUCUUAUUAGUUUGGAUAGCUAACCAAAGAUGAGAUCGUACAGAACUCAAAAAAUCAGUGCAUUAUUGCAAUGUCAACCUACAAAACAUAUAGAAUGAAGAUUAAAAUGAUAUUGUGCGAACAGUCUGAUAGCUCUAUCUACAAAUCAUGAAACUGAAGAAACACACGCAGAAAGAAGAUGCAAGUAUUACUGCUAUGGAUAGAACCAUUUUUAGGGAAAAGGCAGUAACAUAACAGACACAACAGAUCCCCCCCUUAUUUCUGAUAGCUCUUUAAUUGAAUGUUUGUAAUGAAUAGCUAAACUUU